CCUACGGGUGGCAGCAGUGGGGAAUAUUGGACAAUGGGGGCAACCCUGAUCCAGCCAUGCCGCGUGUGUGAAGAAGGCCCUCGGGUUGUAAAGCACUUUCAGUGAGGAAGAACGCCUGGUGGUUAAUACCCAUCAGGAAAGACAUCACUCACAGAAGAAGCACCGGCUAACUCCGUGCCAGCAGCCGCGGUAAUACGGAGGGUGCGAGCGUUAAUCGGAAUUACUGGGCGUAAAGCGCGCGUAGGUGACUUGAUAAGCCGGUUGUGAAAGCCCCGGGCUCAACCUGGGAACGGCAUCCGGAACUGUCAAGCUAGAGUGCAGGAGAGGAAGGUAGAAUUCCCGGUGUAGCGGUGAAAUGCGUAGAGAUCGGGAGGAAUACCAGUGGCGAAGGCGGCCUUCUGGACUGACACUGACACUGAGGUGCGAAAGCGUGGGUAGCAAACAGGAUUAGAUACCCGGGUAGUC
RNAcentral lists this ribosomal RNA (465 nucleotides) under Vreelandella stevensii. Its description in RNAcentral is "partial 16S ribosomal RNA". It matches the Rfam family "Bacterial small subunit ribosomal RNA", at positions 338 to 795 of the family's 1533-position model. The record is from RNAcentral. Lineage: Bacteria; Pseudomonadati; Pseudomonadota; Gammaproteobacteria; Oceanospirillales; Halomonadaceae.